AUACCUUUCUCGGCCUUUUGGCUACAAUCAAGUGUAAUAUUUGUUCUUAUCAGUUUAAUAUUUAGGGUUUAAUAUGUGGGCCAUCGUCUCACACAAUAUUAAAUUUAUUUUUCGAGGGUGAAGAUCCAUCCAAGUAUCUUGCUACUUGGGUCUUCAAAGGUCACCCAUGCAUUGCACUAUUGCACGAGCCUGAUGUACCCCGC
Salvia splendens (bonfire salvia) is the source of this 203-nucleotide small nuclear RNA. RefSeq annotates it as U2 spliceosomal RNA. The transcript has a single exon. Lineage: Eukaryota; Viridiplantae; Streptophyta; Magnoliopsida; Lamiales; Lamiaceae. The record is from RefSeq and is a predicted model, not a curated record.